RNAcentral lists this ribosomal RNA (397 nucleotides) under uncultured bacterium. RNAcentral describes it as "partial 16S ribosomal RNA". It matches the Rfam family "Bacterial small subunit ribosomal RNA", at positions 523 to 918 of the family's 1533-position model. The record is from RNAcentral.
AUACGUAGGUGGCAAGCGUUGUCCGGAAUUAUUGGGCGUAAAGCGCGCGCAGGCGGUCCUUUAAGUCUGAUGUGAACGCCCACGGCUCAACCGUGGAGGGUCAUUGGAAACUGGGGGACUUGAGUGCAGAAGAGGAAAGUGGAAUUCCAAGUGUAGCGGUGAAAUGCGUAGAGAUGUGGAGGAACACCAGUGGCGAAGGAGACUUUCUGGUCUGGAACUGACGCUGAGGCGCGGAAGCGGGGGGAGCAAACAGGAUUAGAUACCCUGGUAGUCCACGCCGUAAACGAUGAGUGCUAAGUGUUAGGGGGUUUCCGCCCCUUAGUGCUGCAGCUAACGCAUUAAGCACUCCGCCUGGGGAGUACGGUCGCAAGACUGAAACUCAAAGGAAUUGACGGGG